UUAGUUAAUAGUUUUUUCUGACUGUCAUUGUCAAAUGAUGAAUAGUGACAUGUUGAAAUAAGCUUUAAAUUUAGUUUUAAGUUACAGUGUACUAAAAAAAAUGUAAACGAAGUGUAGCAAUUAAAUUAAUGUCUUUAUCGUACUCUUUUCCGCUGGAGCCCUGCAGAGCGAGCCAGUGUUACCACGACAACUUGCCACGCCCCUACUGGCGUGUCAUUCUUCGUCGUUGCCAUGGAUGCAUGUGAGACAGGAAGUCUGUUCCAGCUGUAGCUACAGCUGCAUAGCUAGGAACACAUUACUUAAAGUGUGUUGCGAGACUGCUCUGGGCUCUGUUAAAAGUUUUUGCGCAGAGCCACAGCUCAGUCUCUAGCUUUGCAUCCCUUUCGCGGCGGUUCUCUUGAACAGUUGAAUUUGGACUCCCUCGAUGCUUCCCUACACUGUCUACCCGGUUUCGAACUUUGUUUUGUCCCCGUCUACAGCGCUGGGCCAUGUUUGCCUGUACCCCUGCUUACACCUGGGUUCACUUCACGACACACGGACUACUGCUUUACUCAGAACCGGAAUUUAAUUAUUGAUGGAGUCUGCAAAAAGAAAAAUCCCAGAGGAUGUGUAUCAUCACCAAAGGCAUAACCCUUCAAUGACAAAGAGAAAACCUAAGAAGAGCCACAGGUGAGAAAAUAUUAUUUUUUGCAGGUUAAAUGUAUCCUUGUUUGAGUCCAAGAAUAUUUACUGUGAGUUC
RNAcentral lists this long non-coding RNA (739 nucleotides) under Lepisosteus oculatus (spotted gar). RNAcentral's name for it is "lncRNA (ENSLOCG00000022330.1)". Lineage: Eukaryota; Metazoa; Chordata; Actinopteri; Semionotiformes; Lepisosteidae. The record is from RNAcentral.